GGUUUAAAUAACAAUCGGUGUUGUUGCUUUCUUGUGACAUCUCCGGAGUUGGGUCACCUUUCUGCUCCUCUAAGGGACCUAAAAUUGAUGCUCUUGCGCAUCUUGACGUGUAUAAUUUCUUUUAUCUCGUCGCCGGAUGCCAAAUAAUUUAUUAGGUGUGGCCAUGUUAAGUGGUUCUCAUGCCUAUAGGAUUUUUGAU
This 199-nucleotide unclassified non-coding RNA is filed under the name uncultured Glomeromycetes. RNAcentral's name for it is "sequence contains ITS2". The record is from RNAcentral. Lineage: Eukaryota; Fungi; Glomeromycota; Glomeromycetes.